UACAGAGGGGGCAAGCGUUAUUCGGAAUUAUUGGGCGUAAAGGGCGCGUAGGCGGCCGUGCAAGUGGACGGUGAAAUCCCUCGGCUCAACCGAGGAACUGCCUUUCAAACUGCAUGGCUUGAGUCCGGGAGAGGUGAGUGGAAUUCCCAGUGUAGCGGUGAAAUGCGUAGAUAUUGGGAGGAACACCAGUGGCGAAGGCGGCUUUUUGGUCUGUAACUGACGCUGAGGCGCGAAAGCGUGGGGAGCAAACAGG
This 253-nucleotide ribosomal RNA is filed under the name uncultured bacterium. RNAcentral describes it as "partial 16S ribosomal RNA". It matches the Rfam family "Bacterial small subunit ribosomal RNA", at positions 524 to 776 of the family's 1533-position model. The record is from RNAcentral.